This 85-nucleotide transfer RNA is filed under the name bacterium. RNAcentral's name for it is "tRNA-Ser". It matches the Rfam family "tRNA". Rfam says of the family: Transfer RNA (tRNA) molecules are approximately 80 nucleotides in length. Their secondary structure includes four short double-helical elements and three loops (D, anti-codon, and T loops). Further hydrogen bonds mediate the characteristic L-shaped molecular structure. tRNAs have two regions of fundamental functional importance: the anti-codon, which is responsible for specific mRNA codon recognition, and the 3' end, to which the tRNAs corresponding amino acid is attached (by aminoacyl-tRNA synthetases). tRNAs cope with the degeneracy of the genetic code in two manners: having more than one tRNA (with a specific anti-codon) for a particular amino acid; and 'wobble' base-pairing, i.e. permitting non-standard base-pairing at the 3rd anti-codon position. The record is from RNAcentral.
GGAAGGUUCGCCUAGCGGUUUAUGGCGCCACCCUGGAAAGGUGGUUGGUCGAAAGGCCUCGAGGGUUCGAAUCCCUCACCUUCCG